RNAcentral lists this ribosomal RNA (163 nucleotides) under Solidago shortii. Its description in RNAcentral is "5.8S ribosomal RNA". It matches the Rfam family "5.8S ribosomal RNA". From Rfam's summary of the family: 5.8S ribosomal RNA (5.8S rRNA) is a component of the large subunit of the eukaryotic ribosome. It is transcribed by RNA polymerase I as part of the 45S precursor that also contains 18S and 28S rRNA. Lineage: Eukaryota; Viridiplantae; Streptophyta; Magnoliopsida; Asterales; Asteraceae. The record is from RNAcentral.
UAAACGACUCUCGGCAACGGAUAUCUCGGCUCACGCAUCGAUGAAGAACGUAGCAAAAUGCGAUACUUGGUGUGAAUUGCAGAAUCCCGUGAACCAUCGAGUUUUUGAACGCAAGUUGCGCCGAAGCCAUUCGGCCGAGGGCACGUCUGCCUGGGCGUCACGC